RNAcentral lists this long non-coding RNA (356 nucleotides) under Physcomitrium patens. RNAcentral describes it as "long non-coding RNA (PPAT_LNC008266)". The record is from RNAcentral. Lineage: Eukaryota; Viridiplantae; Streptophyta; Bryopsida; Funariales; Funariaceae.
GGCACAAAUGAAACAGUAAUUUCUUUGCGGGGGGACCAUUACAAGAUGUUUGGUCUAACCGGGACUCUACUGCGCGCGAUUCCAUGUCUAACAUAUGGUUUUGGAAACGGCUAAUUCAAAUAAUAAAUAUUGAAAAGGUAGAUAUUUUUGGGAUCAUAUUGGAAUGCUGCGCGCAUGGUGUUCAUAUGUGAUGCUCAAGGAACUAAUAUAAGCUUAUCCUGCAUGUAUUCUUUGGUGCUGCACAAAAGUAUAUUGAUUCUGCCGCAACGUUGCCAUUCAAAUCAACCUCAUCAAAGUUAAGUCUAGACGGUACCCGUAGUAGGCUCUAUUGGCUCCACGUAUACAUUUACAUGCAU